CUGCUCAAUGAAUAAAUUUUAAAUAGCUGCAGUAUAAAUAACUGUACAAAGGUAGCAUAAUAAUUUGUUUUUUAAUUGAAAACUAGAAUGAAUGAUUUAAUGAAAUAUAAACUGUGUCAAAUUUAAAAAAUAAAUUUAUUAUUUAAAUAAAAAAAUUUAAAUAAUUUUUAAAAGACGAGAAGACCCUAUAGAAUUUUAAUAAAAAAUAUAUUAUUAUAAUUUAUAAUUUAUUAUAUUAAUUGGGGAAAUUUUAAAAUUUAAAAAAUUUUUAAUUAAAAAAACAUGAAUUUUUGAAUUAUAAUAUUUUUUAAAAAAAUAAAUUAAAUUACCUUAGGGAUAACAGCAUAAUUUUUUUAAAAUGUUCAAAUUUAUAAAAAAGUUUAUGACCUCGAUGUUGAAUUAAGAU
Molecule: ribosomal RNA, 406 nt
Filed under: Cotesia orobenae
Lineage: Eukaryota; Metazoa; Arthropoda; Insecta; Hymenoptera; Braconidae
Description: partial 16S ribosomal RNA
Source: RNAcentral